CCCUUAGAUGUCCUGGGCCGCACGCGCGCUACACUGAUGCAUUCAACGAGUUUUAUCUUGGCCGAGAGGCCUGGGCAAUCUUUUAAACCUGCAUCGUGAUAGGGAUAGAUUAUUGCAAUUAUUAAUCUUGAACGAGGAAUUCCUAGUAAACGCAGAUCAUCAAUCUGCAUUGAUUACGUCCCUGCCCUUUGUACACACCGCCCGUCGCAUCUACCGAUUGAAUGGUCCGGUGAAGCCUCGGGAUUGUGGCCAGUUCACUUUAUUGGGAGUUGGCUGCGAGAACUUGUCUAAACCUUAUCAUUUAGAGGAAGGUGAAGUCGUAACA
Molecule: ribosomal RNA, 325 nt
Filed under: uncultured eukaryote
Lineage: Eukaryota
Description: partial 18S ribosomal RNA
Rfam family: Eukaryotic small subunit ribosomal RNA
Source: RNAcentral